CCCUGGCUGGCGCCUCUGUCCCCAGCGUUCUGCACGGUGACGAGCGCGCUCAGUGCACCGGGGCCUUCGCGAUGGGAAUGAGCGAAAAAUCACCUUCGCGUGCUCCAACGAGCGACCUGCCAAGGGCUACAGGCGCCUGCGGCAGGAAUUCCCCAAAGCGCCUUUCAGCUCCCGACCUUGACUCUCAUGGAACCGCCCCCGGCCAAGAGUGUGAACCUUGGGUCAGAUGUCAGAGUCCAGACCCCAGGGCCACCGCCAGCCAGCAUGGUCCCGGGGCCCGGGCCCUCUCUGAUCACCCCAGCGGAGGCCGCUCCGCUGUGCCCGUCCCUGCAGCAGAGAUUGACGUUGACUGCGAUUGCUCAGGAAGCCAAAGCAACUCCGCGCCCUGGCUCCCCGCCACCGUAAUCCAAGAAAUGAGUGUAAGAACGGAAUCCACCAAGAGCGCGUCCGGACAGGAAGUUCACAGCCGAACGGUUCUCAGCCAGGACCGGGCGAGAUCCGAGCCCAAGCUGCCUUGCAUCAAUUAAAACAGGGAGACAGAGGAUUUUCGAAGAGGGAGACCGGAUACAGGAAGAAUGCUGAUAUGGUAAAACUCACAAAAAUAAUUAAGAAUCAGCUUAUGGCUCUUUCUCUAUGCCUAGUUAAUUGCAUUUCAAUAUUUCCCCAUUGCCCUUUGGUGGAGAUCCCAGAAUAAGGUAGAACAGCAAGUAGUGCAGCCAGUAGGGGCAGGAGCAGGGGACCCAUGAACCUACGGCUGCCUGGCUCCCGUCAGGAGGAGCCUGGGGAGCGAGUGGGCCAGGCCAGGAGAGACGACCAACAAAGCCAGGGGCAAGCCCACAAGACAGCGAAC
Molecule: long non-coding RNA, 850 nt
Filed under: Fukomys damarensis (Damara mole-rat)
Lineage: Eukaryota; Metazoa; Chordata; Mammalia; Rodentia; Bathyergidae
Description: lncRNA (ENSFDAG00000030478.1)
Source: RNAcentral